This 6012-nucleotide unclassified non-coding RNA is filed under the name Sipha flava (yellow sugarcane aphid). Its description in RNAcentral is "voltage-dependent calcium channel type D subunit alpha-1, transcript variant X8". The record is from RNAcentral. Lineage: Eukaryota; Metazoa; Arthropoda; Insecta; Hemiptera; Aphididae.
ACACACGCACGCACGCACGCACGCACGCACACACACAAACCGUUAAUAUAUUAUUUUAUUUUCGUAAUAUUUUUCAUUUCUCCCAUCCGUCGCCCGCUCGUUUUUUGACUGAUCGCCGUGACUGACGCACUAAUUUCUCUCUCUCUCUCUCUCUCUCUCUCGCUUCCUCUUUCGAUCGUAUUUGUUAUUAAUAAAAUUACGAUGAACAUAUACCGUUCGUUAUGACUUAUAAUAUUGUUGUACGCCGAGCGACCACAUAGAUUUGCGCGCAGCCGUUGACUUUUUCGACACUGCCGUCAUUCGUUUUCUGGUGCCGCCGCCACCCGACGGCAGCAGCGGCGACAACGGCGGCCGCGGUGGCGACGACGACGACGACGACGCCGAUACAAUUAUCAGUUUUCCCGCGGCCGUCCCGCGCGCACAUUCGAACGCCGCCACCGCUGCCGUGACGCGGACCACCAGCGUACCUUCCACUCGCUUCGGACGUACUUGUCCACCGUCGUCGGCCACCCCAUAUCGCUUCGUUCCGACAACGCGCACAUAACCGUCGCCGUCGUCUCCGACAUCACUUUCUCCGUCGUCAUCAUCUUCGUCCCCGUACGGCUGGACCGAUCACUCGACCUUCAACCGAAACUUCACUGCUCAAGCGACACGACGUCCGUCCGAAGCAUGGUAAAACUGUAGAAUAUGAUUUUAGUGAGGUGAUCAUUAUUCUCCGUCUUUAUCGAAAUAAAUGUUUGAAAAAAAAAUAUGAGUGUUGUAAAUAACAACAAUGCCGAUCCUAAUGUGGUGUCUACUAACAAUAACAACAACAAUGCGAACGCUAAUAGCAACAGCAAUAACACCAACAACAACGCAAACAACAGUAAUCCGGCAAAUAACACAAAUCAGACCAAGCAGGUAGUAAAAAGACCCAUCCGAAGGCCAGGAAAACAGCUUCCCGACAGACCGCAAAGAGCAUUAUGUUGCCUAACUCUCAAAAAUCCAUUGCGAAAAUUAUGCAUCGGCGUGAUAGAAUGGAAACCAUUCGAAUACUUAAUUUUAAUGACCAUCUUUGCUAAUUGUAUUGCUCUCGCAGUGUACACACCAUACCCAUGCAACGAUUCGAACACAAUAAAUGGAUAUUUAGACAGAAUUGAACGCGUGUUUUUAGUUAUAUUUACAGUAGAAUGCAUAAUGAAAAUUAUAGCGUAUGGGUUUGUUGCCCAUCCAGGGGCGUACUUAAGAAACGGUUGGAACUUCUUGGAUUUCACUAUUGUUUUAAUGGGAGCCAUAAGUAUAAUCAAUGGAUUCGAUGUAAAAGCCCUACGAGCUUUUCGAGUUUUAAGACCACUAAGAUUAGUAUCAGGAGUGCCAAGUUUACAAGUCGUAUUAAAUUCCAUUUUACGAGCUAUGGUACCUCUUCUACACAUUGCACUUUUAGUUAUAUUUGUGAUUAUCAUAUAUGCAAUUAUCGGACUAGAACUGUUCUCUGGAACUUUGCACACUACCUGCUGGGAAAAUGAUACAAUGAUGGAUGAUCCUCAUCCAUGUGAUGAAGGUGAUUACGGCGAAAUCAGUGGAUUCAAUUGCGCUACUCUCAUUGGUAAUUAUUCAUGCCACGGUCACUGGGAUGGGCCGAAUUCAGGAAUAACUAACUUUGACAAUUUCGGUUUGUCUAUGUUAACGGUUUUCCAGUGUAUUACACUUGAAGGAUGGACGGACGUUUUAUACAGUAUUGAAGAUUCAUUAGGAAGUUCAUGGCAAUGGAUUUAUUUUGUUUCAAUGGUCAUCCUAGGAGCAUUUUUCGUUAUGAAUCUAAUUCUUGGUGUGUUGAGCGGAGAAUUUUCUAAAGAAAGAGAAAAGGCAAAAGCUAGAGGAGAUUUUCAGAAACUUCGUGAAAAACAACAACUUGAAGAAGAUUUGAGAGGUUAUUUAGAUUGGAUAACACAAGCAGAAGAUAUUGAACCUGACGGAGAUGAAAAAGAUGAAUCUUCUAAUCAACAAAAUAAUAAUGUAAAUGAAAAUAAAUCGACGAAUGUGGAACGUGAUGAAGUGGAUCAAAGUAAAUCGUGGUGGAAAAAAAAGCGGAAAAAUUUUGACAAAAUUAAUCGCAGGGCUAGACGAGCUUGUCGAAAAGCUGUGAAGUCGCAAGCUUUUUAUUGGUUGAUUAUUAUUUUAGUGUUCUUGAACACCGGUGUUUUAGCAACAGAACAUUAUAAACAACCACAAUGGUUAGAUGAUUUUCAAGAAAUAACAAAUGUAUUUUUCAUUACACUUUUUACUUUGGAAAUGUUGUUAAAAAUGUAUAGCCUCGGAAUACAGGGAUAUUUUGUUUCGCUUUUCAAUCGAUUCGACUGUUUCGUAGUAAUCGGAAGUAUAACCGAAACGAUUUUAACGCGAACGGCAUUAAUGUUACCACUCGGAGUAUCAGUGUUACGUUGUGUUCGGCUACUCAGGGUUUUUAAAGUUACUAAGUACUGGAGGUCGCUUUCAAAUUUAGUCGCCUCGUUGCUCAAUUCGAUACAAUCCAUUGCUUCUUUGCUGCUUUUACUAUUUCUUUUCAUCGUCAUAUUUGCACUGCUGGGGAUGCAAGUAUUCGGUGGAAAAUUUAAUUUUGAAGCCACAGAUUACAAGCCACGUAGUAAUUUUGAUACAUUUUGGCAGAGUUUACUAACUGUAUUUCAAAUAUUGACCGGUGAGGAUUGGAAUGUUGUGAUGUAUAAUGGAAUAAACGCUUACAACGGUGUGUCAUCACCAGGGAUUUUAGCUUGCAUCUACUUUAUUAUAUUGUUUAUCUGCGGUAACUAUAUUCUUUUAAACGUUUUCUUGGCUAUCGCUGUGGAUAAUUUAGCUGAUGCCGAGUCUUUAACUGCUAUAGAUAAAGAAGAAGAACAACCGGAAACCAAACAAAAAUCUCGAAGUAAUAGCCAAACGAGAGAAAGGGAAAAUGAAUAUCAAGGUGAAAACUCUGAAGGAAUAUCUGUCGAAGAAGAACUUUCAGACCAAAGUUCGUCAAGAAAAGAUUACGAAAGUGACAGUAACAUUAAAAUCAAUCUUGAAGAAGGAUCUGAUUUUGAACCAAAUAAUAACCAAGAAGAUGAAGAAAAUGAAGAAGGUCGUGCUCGUCGGAUGUCGGAACUCAACAAUGCGAAUAAAGGGAUGCCGCCAAUUCCUCAGGCUUCAUCGUUUUUCAUAUUUUCCCCAACUAAUAGGGUUCGAACGUUCUGCCAUUGGUUUUGCAACCAUACUUACUUUAGUAAUUUUUUAUUAGUAUGUAUAAUGGUUUCUUCGGCUUUAUUAGCUGCAGAAGAUCCGUUAAAAGCAGAUUCGGAUAGAAACAACGUUUUAAAAAAAUUCGAUCAUUUCUUCACGGCAGUUUUCACUUUUGAGAUAAUUUUUAAAAUCAUUUCUUAUGGUUUUGUAAUGCACGAUGGAGCAUUCUGUCGAUCGUUUUUCAAUCUAUUGGAUCUUUUAGUAGUUGCUGUCUCGCUGUUGACAGUUUUUUCUAAAAUGGCAAGUACUCAAAAUUUUAGCGCGGGACCAAUGUCAUUAGUAAAAGUCUUAAGAGUUCUGCGAGUACUCAGACCUUUACGUGCUAUAAAUAGAGCAAAAGGAUUAAAACAUGUAGUGCAGUGUGUCAUUGUUGCGGUCAAAACAAUCGGAAAUAUAGUGCUGGUAACUUGCCUUCUUCAAUUCAUGUUUGCUGUAAUUGGAGUACAAUUAUUUAAGGGGAAAUUCUUUUCCUGCAAUGAUCUUUCCAAAACUACAGAAUUUGAAUGCCAAGGUUUGUAUCUAACGUUUGACCACGGUGAUGUGGACACUCCUAAAAAACAAGAUAGAAAAUGGGAACGCAACUCGUUCCAUUUUGACGAUGUGGCUAAAGCCAUGCUCACGUUGUUUACUGUUUCGACGUUUGAGGGAUGGCCUUCACUGUUGCACAAAUCAAUCGAUUCCAAUGAAGAAGAAAAAGGUCCCAUUCACAAUUACAGACCAAUCGUGGCCGCGUAUUAUAUAAUAUAUAUAAUUAUAAUAGCGUUUUUCAUGGUCAACAUAUUCGUCGGUUUCGUUAUAGUAACGUUCCAAAACGAAGGAGAACAGGAGUACAAGAAUUGCGAACUAGAUAAAAAUCAAAGGAACUGCAUAGCUUUUGCUCUGAAAGCCAAACCUGUCCGUCGUUAUAUACCCAAACAUCGAUGCCAGUACAAAGUGUGGUGGUUCGUGACAUCUCAGCCAUUCGAAUAUACAAUAUUCGUGUUGAUUAUGGUCAAUACCAUAACACUCGCUAUGAAGUUCUAUAAACAACCCCAAUAUUACGAUAGCAUAUUGGAUAUGCUAAAUUUGUUUUUCACGGCCGUAUUCGCGUUGGAAUUUGUUUUCAAACUAGCAGCUUUUCGAUUUAAGAAUUAUUUUGGUGACGCAUGGAAUGUUUUUGAUUUCAUAAUUGUACUGGGAAGUUUUAUUGAUAUUGUCGUUGAAAAUUUAUCACCUACUAACAUUACCAUUCCUAAGAAAAAAGACAGAAAACUUUCGAUUAACUUUUUUCGACUAUUUCGGGUUAUGCGUCUAGUGAAAUUAUUAAGUCGUGGUGAUGGUAUUAGAACAUUAUUAUGGACAUUCGUCAAAUCAUUUCAAGCUCUACCGUACGUCGCACUUUUAAUUGUUAUGCUGUUUUUCAUAUACGCAGUUAUCGGUAUGCAGAUUUUUGGAAGAAUAGCAAAAGAUACCAAGGAAUCUGCAAUACAUAGAAACAACCAUUUUCAGACGUUCCCUCAAGCCGUCCUCAUUCUAUUUCGCUCUGCAACGGGUGAAGCUUGGCAAGACAUUAUGAUGUCGUGUGCUUAUCGACCUAACGAAGUAUUCUGCGAUAGCGGUGCAGAUAAGACGGAUGAUAACUGUUGCGGUUCCGAUUUUGCUUUCCCGUACUUCAUUUCGUUUUAUGUGCUGUGUUCAUUUCUAAUCAUCAAUUUGUUUGUCGCGGUCAUCAUGGACAAUUUCGAUUAUUUAACCAGAGAUUGGUCCAUACUGGGACCGCAUCAUUUAGACGAGUUCAUCAGGUUGUGGAGCGAAUACGAUCCCGAUGCCAAAGGUAGAAUAAAACAUCUGGACGUUGUGACGUUGUUGAGAAAAAUAUCACCUCCUCUGGGAUUCGGUAAACUGUGUCCGCACCGCGUCGCGUGUAAGAGACUGGUUUCCAUGAACAUGCCCUUAAAUAGUGACGGCACAGUGUUGUUCAACGCGACACUGUUUGCAGUCGUCCGAACGUCGUUACAUAUAAAAUCUGAAGGCAACAUCGAUGACGCAAACGCUGAGUUAAGAGCUGUCAUUAAAAAGAUUUGGAAACGUACCAACCCGAAACUUCUCGACCAAGUUGUGCCGCCUCCGGGAGUUGACGACGAAGUGACUGUAGGCAAAUUCUACGCGACCUUCUUGAUUCAAGAUUAUUUCCGUCGGUUCAAAAAACGAAAAGAACAAGAAUUAAAAGAAGGGGACAAAGAAGCGCGAAAUACCGUUACACUUCAGGCUGGUUUGCGCACUUUACAUGACGCUGGUCCUGAAAUCAAAAGAGCUAUAUCAGGAAACCUUGAUGAACUCAUCGAUGACAAUCCCGAACCGUCGCACAGGAGAAAUCACUCGCUCUUUGGCAGCGUGUGGUCAUCAAUGAGACGUAGGACGGGCAGUUUGAAACGGUCAUUUAGAGUAAGCAAUACUCAUUCGAAAAAAAAGCAUAAAAAUUAUUUACAAGUGUCAGGAAGAAAUGUGACAAAGCUGUCUCCAUCGAGUUCAAUUGAAGUAGAUUUUUUACCCAACAAUUAUGCCAAACCACAGCGAGAUACCAAAAUUCAAAAUGGAUCUGUUUCACUACAUAGCCAAAACAAAUAAUGAGUAUGAUGUACAAAUGACGCAAGAUUAUAUAUGUAUGUAUAUUUCAGACGUUUACCCGUUCAAAUGCGUUAUUCUAAUGGUAGUAAAGACGAAAUGAACGGAGCCAUUCCGUUAACCAGGUUAUCACAUUCUGUACCUGGAAGUCCC